RNAcentral lists this long non-coding RNA (257 nucleotides) under Homo sapiens (human). RNAcentral's name for it is "HSALNT0246070". Lineage: Eukaryota; Metazoa; Chordata; Mammalia; Primates; Hominidae. The record is from RNAcentral.
CAUUCUCCCAGCAACGCCGACGUCAUCCAAGAAUUAACCCAAGCCAGAGGACGGGCAUCGCCACCCAGCAACGCCAGUGUCACCGAAGAAUUAACCCAAGCCAGAGGACGGGCAUCACCACCCAGCAAUGCCAGUGUCACCGAAGAAUUAACCCAAGCCAGAGGACGGGCAUCGCCAUGCCUUCAUCUUCGGACACUCUCAAAAAAGAUAAGCUUCUGCCCAGAAACACCACAGGUUCAAGCUCAUCACUCAGGGAG